RNAcentral lists this ribosomal RNA (495 nucleotides) under uncultured bacterium. Its description in RNAcentral is "partial 16S ribosomal RNA". It matches the Rfam family "Bacterial small subunit ribosomal RNA", at positions 28 to 507 of the family's 1533-position model. The record is from RNAcentral.
GACGAACGCUGGCGGCGUGCCUAAUACAUGCAAGUAGAACGCUGAAGGAGGAUCUUGCUUCUCUGGAUGAGUUGCGAACGGGUGAGUAACGCGUAGGGAACCUCCCUCGUAGCGGGGGAUAACUAUUGGAAACGAUAGCUAAUACCGCAUAAGAGUAGUUGUUGCAUGACAUUUGCUUAAAAGGUGCACUUUCAUCACUACCAGAUGGACCUGCGUUGUAUUAGCUAGUUGGUGAGGUAACGGCUCACCAACGCGACGAUACAUAGCCGACCUGAGAGGGUGAUCGGCCACACUGGGACUGAGACACGGCCCAAACUCCUACGGGAGGCAGCAGGAGGGAAUCUUCGGCAAUGGACGGAAGUCUGACCGAGCAACGCCGCGUGAGUGAAGAAGGGUUUCGGAUCGUAAAACUCUGUUGUUAGAGAAGAACGAGUGUGAGAGUGGAAAGUUCACACAGUGACGGUAUCUUACCAGAAAGGGACGGCUAACUACGUG